UGUGGUGAUGAUGGCAAGAAGGACACACCUGUUCCCAUGCCGAACACAGCAGUUAAGCUUCUUAGCGCCGAUGGUAGUUGGGACUUUGUCCCUG
This 94-nucleotide ribosomal RNA is filed under the name Aerococcaceae bacterium DSM 111022. Lineage: Bacteria; Bacillati; Bacillota; Bacilli; Lactobacillales; Aerococcaceae. The record is from RNAcentral.